RNAcentral lists this ribosomal RNA (308 nucleotides) under Oxyrrhis marina. Its description in RNAcentral is "partial Bacterial small subunit ribosomal RNA". It matches the Rfam family "Bacterial small subunit ribosomal RNA", at positions 516 to 823 of the family's 1533-position model. Lineage: Eukaryota; Dinophyceae; Oxyrrhinales; Oxyrrhinaceae. The record is from RNAcentral.
CGCGGUAAUACGGAGGGUGCGAGCGUUAAUCGGAAUUACUGGGCGUAAAGCGCGCGUAGGCGGUUUGGUAAGUUGGAUGUGAAAGCCCAGGGCUCAACCUUGGAACUGCAUUCAAAACUGCCAGGCUAGAGUACGGUAGAGGGGGGUAGAAUUCCACGUGUAGCGGUGAAAUGCGUAGAUAUGUGGAGGAAUACCGGUGGCGAAGGCGGCCUCCUGGCUCGACACUGACGCUGAGGUGCGAAAGCGUGGGGAGCGAACAGGAUUAGAUACCCUGGUAGUCCACGCCGUAAACGAUGAGUGCUAAGUGU